Molecule: ribosomal RNA, 253 nt
Filed under: uncultured bacterium
Lineage: Bacteria
Description: partial 16S ribosomal RNA
Rfam family: Bacterial small subunit ribosomal RNA
Source: RNAcentral
UACGAAGGGGGCUAGCGUUGCUCGGAAUCACUGGGCGUAAAGCGCAUGUAGGCGGAUUGCUAAGUCAGGGGUGAAAUCCUGGAGCUCAACUCCAGAACUGCCUUUGAUACUGGCGAUCUUGAGUCCGGGAGAGGUGAGUGGAACUGCGAGUGUAGAGGUGAAAUUCGUAGAUAUUCGCAAGAACACCAGUGGCGAAGGCGGCUCACUGGCCCGAUACUGACGCUGAGGUGCGAAAGCGUGGGGAGCAAACAGG